GGAAAGCCAAAGGGGACCCCCGCUAAAAUACAUAUACUUAUAUAGUAAAUAUCGGGAUUUUCAUUUUUCGCGGAACUUUCACUUUCCGCGAAAAACCAAGGCCAGCAUAGCCAUGAAAUACUACAUACAAAUUGAAAUCUAAAAAGCGCGGAACUUUCAUAUAUUUUCCGUCGGAAUAAUUAUCUUUCAACCCCGUAGAGAAAGCGGGCUCAAAUAAUCGCGCGGAACCUUAAUACUGUCUACUCUGUACAAAAGUAGUGUAUAAAAUCGCGCGGACCUAAUCCACAAAGCGCGGAACACAAAUAUCUUCCGCGAAAAUUAAGCAUUGAAUUACUGUAUAAAUCUCGGGUUGCUAUGUAAAUUGCGGGUUGCUAAUGAAAAAUCGCGCGGAAGAUUCAUUACUCCGCGCGAUUUUCAAUAGCAUUGAAUUACUGCACGAAAUUCGGGUUGCUAUGUGGUUACGCGAUAAAAUUUGAUUGGUUCCGACACCUAGAAAGAACCAAUCAAAACUCGCGUCUUAUCCAGCAUUCACGCAGUCAUCAUGAUGACGGUUGUUUCACAUUAACACAAAACCUUUUAAGGGCGAAAAAGUGAUCAAUUUUGAUGACAUUAGCAAUGAGCUGUAGCACUGUUCCCAACUUGAACAUCAUCUUCUAUGUACAUACCUGAGGCAGAGCCAGCUUUCCCAUCUGCCAUCUGCUGUGGACAACCGAGUCAGAGCCAGCUUGCACGUCAUCUGUUGUGGACAUCGGUGUUAGAGCCAGCUUGCACAACCUCUAUUGUGGACAUCGGUGUUAGUGCUAGCUUGCACGUCAUCUGUUGUGAACAUCCGUGUAAGAGCCAGCUUGCACGUCAUCUCUUUUGGACAUCAGUAUUAGAGCCAGCUUGCACAUCCUCUGUUGUGGACAUCCGUGUAAGUGCUAGCUUGCACGUAAUCUGUUGUGGACAUCUGUGUUAGAGCCAGCUUGCACGUCAUAUGUUUAGGACAUCAGUCAGAGAUAGCUUGCAUGUUAUUUACUUGUGGACAUUAUUCAGAGCCAGCAAGGACAAUCUCUGUUGUGGAUAUCUGUCUAAGAGCUUGCACGUCAUCGGUUGUUCACAUCCUUGUAAUAACCAGCUUGCACAUCAACUGAUGUGGAAAUCUGAGUCAGAGCCAGCUUGCACAUCAUCCGUUGUGGACAUCUCUUUUUGAUUCUACUCUUUGCUUAGAUUGACACUGUGACUUUAGUGUAAUACGUUACAACCUUAAGCUAUUCCUAUUGUUGAAUAAAAAUAUUGUGUCAUUAAAAUAUAUUUUGUUGGAUAA
Long non-coding RNA from Dreissena polymorpha, 1306 nucleotides. RefSeq lists it as uncharacterized. NCBI's taxonomy places the organism in Eukaryota, Metazoa, Mollusca, Bivalvia, Myida, Dreissenidae. The record is from RefSeq and is a predicted model, not a curated record. The transcript has 2 exons.